AGCGAACGCUGGCGGCGUGCCUAACACAUGCAAGUCGAACGUGAAAGGGAGCAAUCCCAAGUAAAGUGGCGUACGGGUGAGUAACACGUAGGUAAUCUACCCCAGAAUCUGGAAUAACCGGCCGAAAGGCUGGCUAAUACUGGAUAGAGCGACGGAAUCCGUAAUUGGGUUUUUCGGGAAAGGGGGCCUGUAAAAAGGCCUUCGUUCUGGGAUGGGCCCGCGUCCCAUCAGCGAGUUGGUGAGGUAAAAGCUUACCAAGGCAAUGACGGGUAGCUGGUCUGAGAGGAAGAUCAGCCAAACUGGAACUGGAACACGGGCCAGACUCCUACGGGAGGCAGCAGGGGGGAAUCUUGCGAAAUGGACGAAAGUCUGACGCAGCAACGCCGCGUGGGAGAAGAAGGCCUUCGGGUUGUAAAGCUCUGUCGAGUGGGACGAAAAUGAUUGGAGUUAACAGCUCCAGGAACUGACGGUACCACUAAAGGAAGCACCGGCUAACUCCGUG
This 502-nucleotide ribosomal RNA is filed under the name uncultured bacterium. Its description in RNAcentral is "partial 16S ribosomal RNA". It matches the Rfam family "Bacterial small subunit ribosomal RNA", at positions 29 to 507 of the family's 1533-position model. The record is from RNAcentral.